Molecule: ribosomal RNA, 178 nt
Filed under: uncultured bacterium
Lineage: Bacteria
Description: partial 16S ribosomal RNA
Rfam family: Bacterial small subunit ribosomal RNA
Source: RNAcentral
ACUCCACGAAGUUGGAUUCGCUAGUAAUCGCGCAUCAGCCAUGGCGCGGUGAAUACGUUCCCGGGCCUUGUACACACCGCCCGUCAAGCCAUGGAAGCCGGGAGUACCUGAAGAUCGUGACCGCGAGGAACGGGCUAGGGUAAUACCGGUAACUGGGGCUAAGUCGUAACAAGGUAAC